AACGCACCUUGCACGCGCUGGGGAACCAGCGCGUAUGCCUGUUUGAGAAUCGCCUACACCUUGGCCGCCAGCGGUGCGGCUGCGUUGGGGGUCCGGCCUAGCGGUCCGUCCUCCUGAAUGGAGCAGUGGGGUCCUGCAGUGUCCUCUGUGUGCUGGAGACCGGUCGAGUCUACUCACGGGGGGCGCGGCACGGCGCCUGGUCUUGGCUCUGCCUCGGCUCUGCCUUGGUCUGCCUCGGCCCUGCCGCCAGCCCCGCUAAGCAGGCUGCAAAAAGCAGCAGGCACAACCAACCACCAACCCGAUCUCAAAUCAGGCAAGACCACCCGCCGAACUUAA
This 336-nucleotide unclassified non-coding RNA is filed under the name uncultured fungus. RNAcentral describes it as "partial internal transcribed spacer 2". Lineage: Eukaryota; Fungi. The record is from RNAcentral.